Esox lucius (northern pike) is the source of this 405-nucleotide long non-coding RNA. RefSeq lists it as uncharacterized. Lineage: Eukaryota; Metazoa; Chordata; Actinopteri; Esociformes; Esocidae. The record is from RefSeq and is a predicted model, not a curated record. The transcript has 2 exons.
UCCCCUGUGAUAUUGUGUGUGGAUACCUGUUCCCCUUUCUGUCUGUGCCUCUGUUAUGGUCGUCCUGGCAACCUAUUAGGGGGCGUGGCGUCUACUCCGUGGUGUUGCCGGUGCCAGCUGAUUCCCCUUGAUGAUCACGCACUUGUUCCCUAUUCCACCACUCACCGGCAGCAUUUAAGCGGUGCUUUGACGUCUCGUUCCCGCCGGAUCGUUAGUCGUAUCUCGAUUCCGCAUCUCCAUUCACCUGCCUGGACUCUGCCUCGACGACCGGUUCAUCUGCUGCAUCCUGACCCACCUUCUCAUUCCUGACUACCUGGACUCCUGGAAUCACCUUCACUCCAUCUCCCCUGCGUGCACUCUGUCCAUUCUCCAUUAACUCUCUCUAAUAAAUCACUCUUCACGAUC